CAGGGGACCGGGGGCGGGGCCUGGAGGGGAGCCAGUGCUCAGCCCUUGAAAAGGCGGCGCCAUCCUAAGGAGGGACACAGAUCCACCGCCCAAUUCCUUUCCUGGGAUCUUCAGAGUUAUAGAAAUUUGAGGUCAAGACAGACCUGGAUUGAACUUAAACCUGACAUCAACUUUUGUGACCUUGGGCUCCUAACCAGCCUCUCCGAAGUGACUGUUAUUAAGAUUAAAAGAAGGUAAUAAAUGUGAAGUGUUUACCUGAA
Molecule: long non-coding RNA, 260 nt
Organism: Homo sapiens (human)
Lineage: Eukaryota; Metazoa; Chordata; Mammalia; Primates; Hominidae
Exons: 2
Source: RefSeq, a predicted model, not a curated record